RNAcentral lists this microRNA precursor (96 nucleotides) under Chelydra serpentina (North American snapping turtle). RNAcentral describes it as "mir-219b". The stretch from base 14 to 89 matches the Rfam family "mir-219 microRNA precursor family", at positions 1 to 71 of the family's 79-position model. Rfam says of the family: The hairpin precursors (represented here) are predicted based on base pairing and cross-species conservation -- their extents are not known. In this case the mature sequence is excised from the 5' arm of the hairpin. The record is from RNAcentral. Lineage: Eukaryota; Metazoa; Chordata; Testudines; Chelydridae.
AGGUGAAAUCUCUGCCACAGAUGUCCAGACACAAUUCUUGGUUUGUAUGUUUCCAUUCCACAAGAAUUGCGUUUGGACAAUCAGGAGCAGAGAUUC